Molecule: transfer RNA, 72 nt
Organism: Camelus ferus (Wild Bactrian camel)
Lineage: Eukaryota; Metazoa; Chordata; Mammalia; Artiodactyla; Camelidae
Rfam family: tRNA
About the family: Transfer RNA (tRNA) molecules are approximately 80 nucleotides in length. Their secondary structure includes four short double-helical elements and three loops (D, anti-codon, and T loops). Further hydrogen bonds mediate the characteristic L-shaped molecular structure. tRNAs have two regions of fundamental functional importance: the anti-codon, which is responsible for specific mRNA codon recognition, and the 3' end, to which the tRNAs corresponding amino acid is attached (by aminoacyl-tRNA synthetases). tRNAs cope with the degeneracy of the genetic code in two manners: having more than one tRNA (with a specific anti-codon) for a particular amino acid; and 'wobble' base-pairing, i.e. permitting non-standard base-pairing at the 3rd anti-codon position.
Source: Rfam
GAGGGUAGAGCUCAGCGGUAGAGCACGUGUCUAGCAUGCAAGAGGUCUUGGGUUCACUCCCCAGUCCCUCCA